RNAcentral lists this long non-coding RNA (452 nucleotides) under Nicotiana benthamiana. RNAcentral's name for it is "long non-coding RNA (NBEN_LNC023546)". The record is from RNAcentral. Lineage: Eukaryota; Viridiplantae; Streptophyta; Magnoliopsida; Solanales; Solanaceae.
AUCAUUAUGGUGUCAGUAUAAAGGAAUUAAGUGGAGAUCAAACACUAACUCAUCAAGAGAUUGAAGGAAGCUAAAAGGCAAUAAGACGAUUACCCGCAUUUUGCUAACAACUUAUUACGAUGGGCGCAAGUAUUACAUUUUCCGUACCAUACAUGGCACUAGUCUUUCAUCGGGUUGAAUAAGUUCAAGUAUGUUAAGGCUAGCCCUUAUUUUUUUUGACAUGAUUUUGUCAUUGUAUUCAUAUUCCCGAAUUUAUAUAUAUUUUGCUAGUUUUGCAAGUUACAUAUAUUUUCCUUAUAUUGUAAGUUAUAAUAAUCUUCUUAUCGGUACUUCAUAUUCAGUUGAGUAUUUAUUUCUUCCAGUCAAGAGAGCAUAGAGUUUAUAUAUACAAUAUUAAAAGUAUUUUCAUUAUUAUCAAGCUAUAAUCGAUGGGCAGGCUCCUAUUGGUCAAC